Molecule: ribosomal RNA, 253 nt
Filed under: uncultured bacterium
Lineage: Bacteria
Description: partial 16S ribosomal RNA
Rfam family: Bacterial small subunit ribosomal RNA
Source: RNAcentral
UACGGAGGGUGCAAACGUUGCUCGGAAUCAUUGGGCGUAAAGCGCACGUAGGCGGCUCGUUAAGUCGGAUGUGAAAGCCCUGGGCUCAACCCAGGAAGUGCAUUCGAAACUGGCGAGCUUGAAUAUGGAAGAGGGUCGCGGAAUUCCCAGUGUAGAGGUGAAAUUCGUAGAUAUUGGGAAGAACACCGGUGGCGAAGGCGGCUCACUGGCUCGUAACUGACGCUCAGGCGCGACAGCGUGGGGAUCAAACAGG